GGGCAGCGCAGGCGAGGGCCUUUCAGGGCAGCGCAGGCAUGGUGGUAAAUCCUCGAGGACAAUGCAGUACGGUAGUCUUCGAGGGCAGCGCAGGUUCACGAAAAAGACUAAAUAGGCAGCGCAGGCUCACAAGGAAGAUUCAGUCUUGCUACUCAGCUCGGGAAGAGGUUUUCAAUCUUCAGCGCUGUACUCCAGCCCUGCGGGGAUAAGAUAACUGAUGAUUGGGAGAUGAACACAUUCACGAAUCAAAAUUUCGGAAUGCUACGGGAAAAUUUUGAGAGCCAUGGUUCAUCCUAAUUUGAUGGGAAGUGCCUCCAUUUGCUAGCGUUUUUCAAUUUAUUUUCAUGUGAUUAUUUUGCCUAUAAUCUCAUUUUUGUUCCAUUUAUCGUGCCAGGAAUAUCGAUCAAAGCUCAAGUGUUCAAGGGAACUACUAGUGAAACCUGGGGAAAUGCUACCGGAGCAUGAUGUUCGACCAAAGAGAAGGAAAAGCGCCGCACAGCUCAUUAGCUGCACCAAGACUGCGCAGGGAGGAAGAUGGCAGUUCACUAACUGCGCUGAUGCAGUAUGCUGAUGCAACGCAGGAACUCUACAUUAUCUCAGCGCAGAAUAUAAUAGUCGUGUCCAACACAGAAUCCCUCAGCAGUCUCCAGUGCAGAAUGUCUGAGCCAUAAUGUAACGAUGAAAAUGAGCUUUAGUGGCAAUUCAGCCACGCUUCGGAGGGGAAAAUCUUAAGUAGAAUUUGGGUCUUCUCAGCGCAGUCAGGAUAUUUAUCUCAGCUACCUCUGCGCAGUUAUCUCAGCGCAACUAUCUCAGUUAUCUUAGCUACCUCAGCGCAGCUAUCUCAGCGCAGCUAUCUCAGCACAGUCAGGGCAGUUAUUUCAGCUACCUCAGGGAAGCUACCUCAGCGCAGUAAGGACAUUUAUCUCAGCCACUUCAGCGCAGCCAUCUCAAGGCAGCUAUCUCAGCUAUCUCAGCGCAGCUAUCUCAGUUAUCUCAGUAGUUUUCAGCGCAGAAUGUCCGAGCCGUUGUCAGUUCAGAUUGUCUAUGCUCCGCGCAGGAAUAUCGUAAGCCGCGAAAGUUAGACAGGGGUGUACCACCUUAAGGGCCGCGUUGCGGAAGUGUAAUCUUAAGGGCCGCGUUGCGGAAGUGUACCAUCUUAAGGGCCGCGUUGCGGAAGUGUACCAUCUUAAGGGCCGCGUUGCGGAAGUGUAAUCUUAAGGGCCGCGUUGCGGAAGUGUACCAUCUUAAGGGCCGCGUUGCUGAAGUGUACCAUCUUAAGGGCCGCGUUGCGGAAGUGUACCAUCUUAAGGGCCGCGUUGCGGAAGUGUAAUCUUAAGGGCCGCGUUGCGGAAGUGUACCAUCUUAAGGGCCGCGUUGCGGAAGUGUACCAUCUUAAGGGCCGCGUUGCGGAAGUGUAAUCUUAAGGGCCGCGUUGCGGAAGUGUAUCAUCUUUGUUAGUGCAGGUAGUGCAGCGCAGUCAGCGCGGGGUUGUCAGCGCAGUCGGUGCAGCGCAGUCAGCGCGAGGUUGUCAACACAGAUCACUUGAGUCUUCCCAGCACAGGUUAUCUAAGCCCUUAUUAUCUUUAAUGAUGUUCGACGAAUCAAAAGGAAUAAUUGCUAUCUCUUUUAUCUUAGCUUAUUUCUAGCAUUAAAAUACUUUGUCUUUAUCAUUUUUGCAAAGAUUGACAGUUCUUGUCUAAUAAGUCGCAGGGAAUCGUGUAUGCUUAAUUGACACGGGAGAGCAGCACAGCGCUGACUUCACACCACACACCACUAGUUGAACAAAGAGAACGCUGUUCAACUAGACUAGGGGGGAGUAGCUGAUGAGGACUGUAAUUCCCAUCAGCGCUGUGCUUAGCAAUCUAAGCCUAUUUUACCUUAUUAUUACUAUUAUUAUUAUUAUUAUUAUUAUAGAAACUAACAGCGCAGGUACGAUCGGAUAUCUUAGAUAAAAGAGUAAGAAAUCCACCUAAGUAGAUGGAGUGAAGAAUGAUCGCACACAGAAACCUUCCCACGCAGCCAAGGUGCCUUCCUGCGCAGCCAAGUAGCUUUCCCGUGCAGCCGCGCAGCCAGACCAGAGCAACGCAGCCGAGCUGCACAGCCAGACCAGAGCAGCGCGGCAGCGCUGCGCAGUCAGAGCAGCGCCACCAAAGUGCCUUUCCUGCGCAGCUACGUAUGAUAGUUCAACUUCGGGAAUAAGACCAUUGUACUGAGUUUUGGGCCCAAUUGACUAGAUGAGUGGGCUUUUAGAAUUAGGGCUUGCUCACAAACUAUAAAUAGCACAUCUAUUGGAGAACUAGGGGAUCAACUCAUUCAAGCAACACACUUGUAAUAUGUAACUCUCUCUCAAAGUAUAGUGAAACCAACGAAGAACCUCUCGUGGACGUAGGUCUUGAUGGCCGAACCACGUAAA
Long non-coding RNA from Salvia miltiorrhiza (redroot sage), 2413 nucleotides. RefSeq lists it as uncharacterized. NCBI's taxonomy places the organism in Eukaryota, Viridiplantae, Streptophyta, Magnoliopsida, Lamiales, Lamiaceae. The record is from RefSeq and is a predicted model, not a curated record. The transcript has 2 exons.